AGUCGAGCGGCAGCACGGGGAGCUUGCUCCCUGGUGGCGAGCGGCGGACGGGUGAGUAAUGCAUAGGAAUCUGCCCGGUAGUGGGGGAUAACGUGGGGAAACCCACGCUAAUACCGCAUACGUCCUACGGGAGAAAGCAGGGGAUCUUAGGACCUUGCGCUAUCGGAUGAGCCUAUGUCGGAUUAGCUAGUUGGUAAGGUAACGGCUUACCAAGGCGACGAUCCGUAGCUGGUCUGAGAGGAUGAUCAGCCACACUGGGACUGAGACACGGUCCAGACUCCUACGGGAGGCAGCAGUGGGGAAUAUUGGACAAUGGGCGAAAGCCUGAUCCAGCCAUGCCGCGUGUGUGAAGAAGGCUUUCGGGUUGUAAAGCACUUUCAGCGAGGAAGAAAGCCUCUGGGCCAAUACCCCAGAGGAAGGACAUCACUCGCAGAAGAAGCACCGGCUAACUCCGUGCCAGCAGCCGCGGUAA
RNAcentral lists this ribosomal RNA (472 nucleotides) under uncultured Halomonas sp. Its description in RNAcentral is "bacterial SSU rRNA". It matches the Rfam family "Bacterial small subunit ribosomal RNA", at positions 60 to 523 of the family's 1533-position model. Lineage: Bacteria; Pseudomonadati; Pseudomonadota; Gammaproteobacteria; Oceanospirillales; Halomonadaceae. The record is from RNAcentral.